RNAcentral lists this ribosomal RNA (125 nucleotides) under Candidatus Methanomassiliicoccus intestinalis. The record is from RNAcentral. Lineage: Archaea; Methanobacteriati; Thermoplasmatota; Thermoplasmata; Methanomassiliicoccales; Methanomassiliicoccaceae.
UAUGACGGCCAGAGCGGCGGGGAUACACCCGGUCCCAUCUGAACCCGGAAGUUAAGUCCGCCUGCGUUUCAUGUUGUACUGCGGUGCGCGAGCCCUUGAUUUGUGAUUUUAAUCGAUUAUUAAAA